RNAcentral lists this ribosomal RNA (253 nucleotides) under uncultured bacterium. Its description in RNAcentral is "partial 16S ribosomal RNA". It matches the Rfam family "Bacterial small subunit ribosomal RNA", at positions 524 to 776 of the family's 1533-position model. The record is from RNAcentral.
UACGUAGGGUGCAAGCGUUGUCCGGAAUUAUUGGGCGUAAAGAGCUCGUAGGCGGUUCGUCGCGUCGAAUGUGAAAACCCGGGGCUCAACCCCGGGCCUGCAUUCGAUACGGGCAGACUAGAGUUCGGUAGGGGAGUCUGGAAUUCCUGGUGUAGCGGUGAAAUGCGCAGAUAUCAGGAGGAACACCGGUGGCGAAGGCGGGACUCUGGGCCGAUACUGACGCUGAGGAGCGAAAGCGUGGGGAGCAAACAGG